CUCAGCUCAGCCUCUGCUGUAAUUGGACAGCUUUCAACGAGUGGCUCUGUGGUAGCCGCCCAUUCUCCGCCCCUGUCACCCGGCCACACGCGCACACAUUCCGGGCCGUGAUUGGUGUGGGUCUGAUUGGUGCAUUUUGGGAUCAAUCAACCACACCUCUUCGCUAUCUCGUCGUGUCAUUGGUAAAAGGGACAGAGGGCGGCAACUCCACGCGCCCUUUGAUUUUAUUGGUUGGUCUGUGGGGCUCAGACCCCAGUCGGGGGACAACUAUUUUAGUCCAAUCUCCGGUUUGAGAACGUGGGACGUACUGGCCACUGCCCGAAUCCCGGGAGAACCUUCUGGAACCCGUGCAACGUCAAAGGCAGCCUUAAAGGAAAACUGCGCCCACCAGUUGGCGGUGACUCUGGGCAUUCUUUCCUGUCUUCAUUUAGGAGGGUUGCUAAAAGCAGUGGCAGCAGAAAAGCAACAGCAGAGAAAAUGCCCAGUCCCACCCCACUCCAGCGUGGGCUGUCGGAGCAGUCUCCUCUGUUUAUCCAGUGCAGUGGCACUGGCUUCAGUCAGCCCAGGAAGACACAGUCACCCCUGACUGCACAGGACUCUUCUGAGAUUUCCAAGGAGCAGGAGGGCUGAAGACUGAGUAAAAAUGUCUUCUUGGACUCAGCUCAAGAGAAUGAGGUGUGAGGGAGGUGCUGUUGUUGUUUAAUAUUUACUGGAAGUCCAAAAGCUCUAAUAAACAUGAGGCCAAAAUUAUGGCAUGAUCUUUAGCCUCUAGGGGCCUGGGAUGGGUCUUCAUGAGAAGCUACAGUGCAGGCUUCCCACAGAAGCAGAGCAACAGUUAAGGAAUAGCACACCAUCAGUGACUGGCUGGUGUGAUUGCACUUAGCAAGCAGAGCUUUUCAGCAAGAUGGAGAGACACUCCCUGUUCUCUGCUCUGGGGCCCUGAAGCACAGAUUCAGCCCCAUUUAAUGCACUCAUUACACCUUAAUUAUCAUGACUUAUUUGUUGAUUCUACAAAUAUUUGCUGAGUGCAGCCUACUAUGUGUUAGGCACAAAUUAGGCGCUUAGUAACUGUUGGUAGAUUGAACAAAUGGAACCUCACUCAGCCUGUGAGAAAGCAGUGUGAGUAUGUGCGUGUGUAGGGGGCAUAAGUGUAGGAUUAAAAAAAAAAAAGUGUUGCUUGAGCUAAAUUUUGAAAUCUGAGUGGGAGUUACCCCAGUGGAUAAGGGAAAAAAAGGCAUUCCAGGAAGAGAUAAAAGCACAUGCCAAGGCAUGGAGCUAUAUGGAGACUCCAUCAUGGCUUAGAUGGUAUGAAGCCAGCCGGGUGUUAGAUAGAAAUAGGCAAAGAAACCUGCCUUCACAUAAGAAUUAGCCCAGAGAACUGGUUUGAGAUAGUAUGCUUAAACUAUUUGUCUAGAAGGGAAUAUGUACUUAGAUUUCAGGGAGGAAAGAAAACACAGAGAAUUGGAUUUUCUAAGGCCAGGUAGCAGGACAGCCCUGAUAAGUCCUAGGGUUGACCAGUGAGUGCAUUGCUUGGCCUUUGGACCCAACAGGAAACUCCUCUUCAUAGCCUAAGGGCUGGUAGGUAGAGGCUGUAGUAAAUCAUUGGGGCUUUCCCUCUGGAGACCCGUAACCCUGAUUAGGAGGCUCAAAAAACAAAACAAAACGAAACAAAAUGAAACAAAAUGAAAAAAAGGAGAGAAAACCAGCCAGCCAACCAACACGCUGUUGUUUUAGUAAGAAGACCACAGUUAAGAUGAAACAUUUCUGAAAACCAAAUGAGAUCAUGUAAGAGGGCUUGUAAAUUGUCACAUAUUAUCCAAAUAUAAGGUACUGUCAUUAUUAUCAUAGAGAGCCAAGAGUGGCCAGUUCACUCAAAGUAUAUGGGUGGAAGUAAUUCUGGCAGGGCAAUGGCACGGGGCUAAGGACGUGGCUGCCAGAGGAGGCACAGAACAGCAGUGGUGCUUCAGUGAUGCCUGGGAAAAGGCAUACUGUAUGAUGAUUCCUAUAGAUACUCUGUAAAGCUGUACUUCUCUUUUUUCUUCUUACUUUUUGUAGUAAAUGAUUAGAGAAAUGCAGACUGAUCCUAUGUGAACACCUCAAGGGCAAGGAACUCUCAUAUUUAUCUAGCAUAGUGCCCUGGCAAGUGGGUAGCACUUAGUAAAUGUAUAUGGGUCUCUGAGUGGAUUGCUGGAAGGGAAGGAAGGAUGAAGGGGGAUGUUAUAAUAGAAAAAAUAGUCAUGUCUCCAGCUGGACACUGAUGGUCUUGGUUUCUUGGUCAAAAGCUGGUAAGCAUUUCUGUCAGAACUUGGUCAUUAAGAUUGAGGGGUUGGAGUAGAUAAUGAUAUUCCCAUUAGAAAUGAAUAAAGCAAUUUGGGAAAUGAAGAUAGCAGAAACCAAGAGCACUGCUGGAGAAAAGCAUGUGGGACUGGAAGAUAAUAGACUCUGUAGCUAAAAAGAAAGGAAACUUUUUGCAUAAAUAUGAUCCACUUAGGAACAGGUGUACUGAAAAAAAUACAAGGAGUAUGAGAAACAGGCAGGGGAAGGUCCUACUAUUUAUGUGUUUGAGGAAGAGGAAGCAUUGUCUAAAGAUGGCAAAUGUAGGAGGAAGAAAACCAUAAGAAUGUGGUCAGAGAUGAUGAGGAAGAUUAAAGGCUAAAAAAUCCAGACUCAUUUGUGUACACUCAAGUGAAAUUGUGUGAGCCAUGCUCUCCCCUUUUAUUUCUCUUUAGAGAGAGCUUUUUUUUUAAAAAAAGAUUAAGGCCACCUGGUGACAUCCUUCAUCUCUCUCCCCCCCCCCCACUGUGAAAUGAUUUGAUUUGCAGACUCAUGUUGUGAUUAGAGGAGACAGUCAGUAUUCUUAGGAUUUUGUAAUCUUAAUGUUUACCCAAUGCUGGACAUCAAAGAAGUGAUAUCCAAGGUCCAAUAUUUGGGGAGCACCUGGAGCCAUCUAGCAAUUUUUCCAGGGUCAUGAGUGGGUGUGAUACCAAGAGCCCUCAGUAAAAAAGACCAGUUUAGGAAUAAAACCCAGUGACAAAUCUCUGAAUCGGAGCAAAGAUCAUAUUUGCAGGCUUGCUCUGAUUUUCUUAAAAAAGAUAUAUAUCCCUGUUUAUUUUGGUGUGUUAAACUGAUGAAAGGUGUUUGAACUGAAAGGGGAUUAUAAACAAUUCUCUAAUGGGCAGGUGCUUAACCAAUAUCAGCCUUUGUCAGAGUUUGUUCCACUGAGCUGUGCAUGAGAUGCCACACCCAGGUUGUUCUGUUUUGUCACAAGCCUGAUCUCCCUUCUCACUGUGUAACCCCAGGAGCCCAGGG
Orcinus orca (killer whale) is the source of this 3309-nucleotide long non-coding RNA. RefSeq lists it as uncharacterized. The transcript is spliced from 3 exons. The record is from RefSeq and is a predicted model, not a curated record. Lineage: Eukaryota; Metazoa; Chordata; Mammalia; Artiodactyla; Delphinidae.